GGCUUUAUAGUCAAUAAUGAUAUUAGACUGCAAUUCUAAAGGAGCAAAUUAAUUUGCUAAGGCUU
This 65-nucleotide transfer RNA is filed under the name Liriomyza sativae (vegetable leafminer). RNAcentral's name for it is "tRNA-Cys". The record is from RNAcentral. Lineage: Eukaryota; Metazoa; Arthropoda; Insecta; Diptera; Agromyzidae.